RNAcentral lists this ribosomal RNA (777 nucleotides) under uncultured Neocallimastigales. RNAcentral describes it as "partial large subunit ribosomal RNA". It matches the Rfam family "Eukaryotic large subunit ribosomal RNA", at positions 24 to 627 of the family's 3401-position model. The record is from RNAcentral. Lineage: Eukaryota; Fungi; Neocallimastigomycota; Neocallimastigomycetes; Neocallimastigales.
UAUCUCUGUAGAGUCUGCAUAUCAAUAAGCGGAGGAAAAGAAACUAACUAGGAUUCCCUCAGUAACGGCGAGUGAAGCGGGAAGAGCUCAAAUUUGAAAUCUUCAAGGUUCUACCUUGACGAAUUGUAGUUUAAAGAAGUGUUUUCUGUUGGAGUUUUGGUAAAAGUUCUUUGGAAUAGGACAUCAUAGAGGGUGAGAAUCCCGUAUUUGACCAUUAUUUCCAGCGCUUGUGAUACACUUUCGAAAGAGUCGGAUUGUUUGGGAAUGCAGUCCAAAAUGGGUGGUAAAUUUCAUCUAAAGCUAAAUACUGGCGAGAGUACCGAUAGCGAACAAGUACCGUGAGGGAAAGAUGAGAAGAACUUUGAAAAGAGAGUUAAACAGUACGUGAAAUUGUCAAAAGGGAAGCGUUUGACACCAGUGUUGUUUUCUCGAAAAUCAAUUAAAAAAGGCAGGAUUUUGUGUUGUAUUGACUUUAUCAGCUUUCUGCACUCUUUUCUUGUCCUUUUUAAUGCACUUUUCGUUUAACAAGUCAACAUCAAUUUCUUUUGUUGUAAAAGGGUCAUUGGAAGGUGGCUUUCUUUUCGGAGAAAGUGUUUAUAGCCUUUGGCCUCUGCAAUCGGAGAGAUUGAGGUCUGCAGCGUAGAUCCUUCGGGGUUAGAUACAUUUGUGCUAAGUUAUAGCCUUUCAUAGACAACUUGUUGACUAUGAUCAGUCAUGUAGCUUACUCGCUUAUGCUAUUUUACCUACGCUUAGGAUGUUGACGAUCAGCUGAGCGCG